AGCCCGGUCGUCUAGUUGGUCAAGGAUGCUGGCCUUUGGAGCCGGCGACCCUGGUUCGAAUCCAGGCCGGGCUA
RNAcentral lists this transfer RNA (74 nucleotides) under Nitrososphaerota archaeon. RNAcentral's name for it is "tRNA-Gln". It matches the Rfam family "tRNA". From Rfam's summary of the family: Transfer RNA (tRNA) molecules are approximately 80 nucleotides in length. Lineage: Archaea; Thermoproteati; Nitrososphaerota. The record is from RNAcentral.